Molecule: transfer RNA, 72 nt
Filed under: Aedes aegypti (yellow fever mosquito)
Lineage: Eukaryota; Metazoa; Arthropoda; Insecta; Diptera; Culicidae
Rfam family: tRNA
About the family: Transfer RNA (tRNA) molecules are approximately 80 nucleotides in length. Their secondary structure includes four short double-helical elements and three loops (D, anti-codon, and T loops).
Source: Rfam by way of RNAcentral
GCUUGGUAGCUAAGUUGGUAAAACACUUGUCUAGCAUACAAGAGACGUAAGUUCGAAUCUUUCGUUUGAGCA